Molecule: ribosomal RNA, 442 nt
Filed under: uncultured Saccharophagus sp.
Lineage: Bacteria; Pseudomonadati; Pseudomonadota; Gammaproteobacteria; Cellvibrionales; Cellvibrionaceae
Description: bacterial SSU rRNA
Rfam family: Bacterial small subunit ribosomal RNA
Source: RNAcentral
GGGGAUAACCACGGGAAACUGUGGCUAAUACCGCAUGAUCUUGAAAAAGCAAAGGUGGCCUCUGUUUACAUGCUAUCGCUUAUAGAUCGGCCUACGUCCCAUUAGCUAGUUGGUGGGGUAAUGGCCUACCAAGGCGACGAUGGGUAGCUGGUCUGAGAGGAUGAUCAGCCACACUGGAACUGAGACACGGUCCAGACUCCUACGGGAGGCAGCAGUAGGGAAUCUUGCACAAUGGACGAAAGUCUGAUGCAGCAACGCCGCGUGAGUGAAGAAGGCCCUUGGGUUGUAAAGCUCUUUCGGCUGGGAAGAAGGGUGUCGUAGCUAAUAUCUACGAUAUUUGACGGUACCAGAAGAAGAAGCACCGGCUAACUCCGUGCCAGCAGCCGCGGUAAUACGGAGGGUGCAAGCGUUGUUCGGAAUUACUGGGCGUAAAGCGCACGUA